RNAcentral lists this ribosomal RNA (375 nucleotides) under Triticum aestivum (bread wheat). Its description in RNAcentral is "partial small subunit ribosomal RNA". The record is from RNAcentral. Lineage: Eukaryota; Viridiplantae; Streptophyta; Magnoliopsida; Poales; Poaceae.
AUGGAGCUGCUCGUCAAGGCACGCAGGCACGCGCGGGUCCAGCGGCAGGAAGGGCACAGAGGAGGACCGAGCUCGCCGGUGCGCGUGGCCAAGGGAUCGGCGGCAGCGGAUCUGAGUCCCACCCGUUGGGAUCGAACGACAGAUGGCGUGAGGCAGUUGGAUGCGAGUCCCACUCCCAACCUGAGGGCUCGACCUUCUCGAUUCCUGGCUGCGGCGGGUGUGGAACUCCGAAGUGACGGUGAACUCGCCGGCGUCGCACUGCCCCCACACAAGCGCCAUCAGAGUAUUCACGCUCCCGUUGCGACGCACGGGUUUGUGGAGGUGAUGGCACGAGUAUUUACCAGGAUGCUUGGAGAUGCGUUGGCAUAUGUCUAG